Molecule: ribosomal RNA, 425 nt
Filed under: uncultured bacterium
Lineage: Bacteria
Description: partial 16S ribosomal RNA
Rfam family: Bacterial small subunit ribosomal RNA
Source: RNAcentral
GUUAGGAAUAUUGGACAAUGGGCGAAAGCCUGAUCCAGCCAUGCCGCGUGAACGAUGAAGGCCUUCGGGUUGUAAAGUUCUUUAGCCGAUGAUUAUAAUGACUGUAGUCGGAAAAUAAGCCCCGGCUAACUUCGUGCCAGCAGCCGCGGUAAUACGAAGGGGGCGAGCGUUAUUCGGAAUCACUGGGCGUAAAGCGUGCGUAGGCGGUUUUGUAAGUUAGGAGUGAAAGCACAGGGCUCAACCUUGGAAUUGCUCUUAAAACUGCAAGGCUCGAAUCUCGGAGAGGAUAGCGGAAUUUCCAGUGUAGCAGUGAAAUGCGUAGAUAUUGGAAGGAACACCAGUGGCGUAAGCGGCUAUCUGGACGAGUAUUGACGCUGAGGCACGAAAGCGUGGGGAUCAAACAGGAUUAGAAACCCCGGUAGUCC